AAUAUUGGACAAUGGGCGAAAGCCUGAUCCAGCGAGGAAGCGAGUGUGAAGAAGGUGUUCGUAUUGUAAAGCACUUUAAGUUGGGAGGAAGGGCAGGAAGGUAAUAGCUUGUUGGUUGGACGUUAACGACAGAAGAAGAAGUGGGUAACUUAGUGCCAGCAGCAGCGGUAAUACGAAGGGUGCAAGCGUUAAUCGGAAUUACUGGGCGUAAAGCUCUCGUAUGUGUUUUUUUAAGUUGUAAGUGAAAGCCCCGGCCUCAACCUCGGAACUGCUUUCAAAACUGCCAAGCUAGAGUAUGGCAUAGGGUGGUGGAAUUUCCUGUGUAGCGGUGAAAUGCGUAGAUAUAGGAAGGAACACCAGUGGCGAAGGCGACCACCUGGGCUAAUACUGACACUGAGGUGCGAAAGCGUGGGGAGCAAACAGG
Molecule: ribosomal RNA, 424 nt
Filed under: uncultured bacterium
Lineage: Bacteria
Description: partial 16S ribosomal RNA
Rfam family: Bacterial small subunit ribosomal RNA
Source: RNAcentral